RNAcentral lists this ribosomal RNA (873 nucleotides) under uncultured Pseudomonadales bacterium. RNAcentral's name for it is "bacterial SSU rRNA". It matches the Rfam family "Bacterial small subunit ribosomal RNA", at positions 28 to 896 of the family's 1533-position model. The record is from RNAcentral. Lineage: Bacteria; Pseudomonadati; Pseudomonadota; Gammaproteobacteria; Pseudomonadales.
AUUGAACGCUGGCGGCAGGCCUAACACAUGCAAGUCGAGCGGAUGAAGGGAGCUUGCUCCUGGAUUCAGCGGCGGACGGGUGAGUAAUGCCUAGGAAUCUGCCUGGUAGUGGGGGAUAACGUCCGGAAACGGGCGCUAAUACCGCAUACGUCCUGAGGGAGAAAGUGGGGGAUCUUCGGACCUCACGCUAUCAGAUGAGCCUAGGUCGGAUUAGCUAGUUGGUGGGGUAAAGGCCUACCAAGGCGACGAUCCGUAACUGGUCUGAGAGGAUGAUCAGUCACACUGGAACUGAGACACGGUCCAGACUCCUACGGGAGGCAGCAGUGGGGAAUAUUGGACAAUGGGCGAAAGCCUGAUCCAGCCAUGCCGCGUGUGUGAAGAAGGUCUUCGGAUUGUAAAGCACUUUAAGUUGGGAGGAAGGGCAGUAAGUUAAUACCUUGCUGUUUUGACGUUACCAACAGAAUAAGCACCGGCUAACUUCGUGCCAGCAGCCGCGGUAAUACGAAGGGUGCAAGCGUUAAUCGGAAUUACUGGGCGUAAAGCGCGCGUAGGUGGUUCAGCAAGUUGGAUGUGAAAUCCCCGGGCUCAACCUGGGAACUGCAUCCAAAACUACUGAGCUAGAGUACGGUAGAGGGUGGUGGAAUUUCCUGUGUAGCGGUGAAAUGCGUAGAUAUAGGAAGGAACACCAGUGGCGAAGGCGACCACCUGGACUGAUACUGACACUGAGGUGCGAAAGCGUGGGGAGCAAACAGGAUUAGAUACCCUGGUAGUCCACGCCGUAAACGAUGUCGACUAGCCGUUGGGAUCCUUGAGAUCUUAGUGGCGCAGCUAACGCGAUAAGUCGACCGCCUGGGGAGUACGGCCGCAAGGUUU